RNAcentral lists this ribosomal RNA (803 nucleotides) under uncultured Pelagibacteraceae bacterium. Its description in RNAcentral is "bacterial SSU rRNA". It matches the Rfam family "Bacterial small subunit ribosomal RNA", at positions 36 to 887 of the family's 1533-position model. The record is from RNAcentral. Lineage: Bacteria; Pseudomonadati; Pseudomonadota; Alphaproteobacteria; Candidatus Pelagibacterales; Candidatus Pelagibacteraceae.
CUGGCGGCACGCCUAAUACAUGCAAGUCGAACGAAGUAGCAAUACUUAGUGGCAGACGGGUGAGUAACAUGUGGGUAUCUUCCCUUUGGUGAGGAAUAACACGAGGAAACUUGUGCUAAUACCUCAUAAGUCUUUACGGAGAAAGCUUUAUGCGCCAUUGGAUGAGCCUGCACUUGAUUAGUUUGUUGGUGGGGUAAUGGCCUACCAAGACUUUGAUCAAUAGCUGAUUUGAGAGGAUGAUCAGCCACAUUGGGACUGAGACACGGCCCAAACUCCUACGGGAGGCAGCAGUAGGGAAUCUUGCACAAUGGAGGAAACUCUGAUGCAGCGAUGCCGCGUGAGUGAAGAAGGCCUUUGGGUUGUAAAGCUCUUUCGUCGGGGAAGAAAAUGACUGUACCCGAAUAAGAAGGUCCGGCUAACUUCGUGCCAGCAGCCGCGGUAAUACGAAGGGACCUAGCGUAGUUCGGAAUUACUGGGCUUAAAGAGUUCGUAGGUGGUUAAAAAAGUUGGUGGUGAAAUCCCAGAGCUUAACUCUGGAACUGCCAUCAAAACUUUUUAGCUAGAGUAUGAUAGAGGAAAGCAGAAUUUCUAGUGUAGAGGUGAAAUUCGUAGAUAUUAGAAAGAAUACCGAUUGCGAAGGCAGCUUUCUGGAUCAUUACUGACACUGAGGAACGAAAGCAUGGGUAGCGAAGAGGAUUAGAUACCCUCGUAGUCCAUGCCGUAAACGAUGUGUGUUAGACGUUGGAAAUUUAUUUUCAGUGUCGCAGCGAAAGCAAUAAACACACCGCCUGGGGAGUACGACC